AUGCCGUUCAAACUGAAACACUAGAAAAGAAACAAUUUCAACAUUCUAGAAACCAUGAAUCUUGAUGUUCUUCUUUUGCAAACCAAGCUGUUGAGUCAAAAACUCCAUUACCUUGAUACGUUGAUCACCUUGAAGUUGUAUAACUUCUCCCAAAUCAUCGUCCUUAACAAUGGUACCGUUGCAAGCAAAAUCUUUUUUCAAAGCACGCAAGAUACGCUUUUGGUCAAAUUCACGAGGAAGACCUUGAACAGUAGUUAAAGUCUUUCGGCCAUUUCUUUGCUGGAUGCGAAUAUGAAUGUUAUUCAGAGGCUGAGCAUCAUCAUCACCAGUGUCAGCAAAAGGAUCUAACACAUGUUAGUUUAGGAACCCUGACGGAAGCAGGUAAAAAAGACUUUUAAUCCAAAUUUUGAUAAAGCUGGAAUAAU
Schizosaccharomyces pombe (fission yeast) is the source of this 425-nucleotide non-coding RNA. The record is from the annotation of a GenBank genome assembly. NCBI's taxonomy places the organism in Eukaryota, Fungi, Ascomycota, Schizosaccharomycetes, Schizosaccharomycetales, Schizosaccharomycetaceae.